Molecule: ribosomal RNA, 405 nt
Filed under: uncultured bacterium
Lineage: Bacteria
Description: partial 16S ribosomal RNA
Rfam family: Bacterial small subunit ribosomal RNA
Source: RNAcentral
AUUGAACGCUGGCGGCCGGCUUAACACAUGCAAGUCGAACGAGUGGCGGACGGGUGAGUAAUGCUUGGGAAUCUGGCUUAUGGAGGGGGAUAACUACGGGAAACUGUAGCUAAUACCGCGUACCAUAGGAUGAGCCCAAGGGGAAUUAGGUAGUUGGUGAGGUAACGGCUCACCAAGCCGACGAUGUCUAGCUUUGCUGAGAGGAUGACCAUGCACACUGCGACUGAGACACGGCCCAUACUCCUACGGGAGGCAGCAGUGGGGAAGAUUGCGAAAUGGGGGAAACCUGACGCAGCCAUGCAGCGUGAAUGAAGAAGGCUUUCGGGUUGUAAAGUUCUGUCGGUAGCGAGGCGUUAACUAAAGAAGAAGCACCGGCUAACUCCGGGCCAGCAGCCGCGGUAAUAC